UGGCGGAGAGGGCGGGAGUCGAACCCGCGAUACCGAUUUUGUCGGUAUACGCGCUUUCCAAGCGCGCUCAUUCGGCCUCUCUGACACCUCUCC
Molecule: transfer RNA, 93 nt
Filed under: Candidatus Jettenia caeni
Lineage: Bacteria; Pseudomonadati; Planctomycetota; Candidatus Brocadiia; Candidatus Brocadiales; Candidatus Brocadiaceae
Description: tRNA-Ser
Source: RNAcentral